GGUCUGGGGCUCUCUUCCCAGAGAGCUCGUAGGGGAGGACAGUCAAGGGACUCAAGCGUCUCUCUUGACUCCCCUUCUCUCGCUGUGCAGUGGCGGCGCCGAGGGGUCGACGCUCAGGGCUAAUCUCUAUGAGUCACCCUCGAGGCCCCGGGUAAUAUUGGGUGGAUCACAAGAACUAAUCUUUCAUGAUUUGGAAACCGGAAGGAAAGAAGCACUUUUGUAGCUGACUUACCUCAAUGACAUGACCAGUGUCUGAGCCUACAACUGCGCUAUCUUCCCUGGAUUUUUCUUCACCUUUUCCUUACUCAUGAGCCAGGACCCAUGUGGGCAGAGAGGAGAGUUCUCACCUGGAGUUCAGCAUGGUGGACUUGGGCUGCAGCCGUGGCCACCUGGUCCUCCAGAUCCGCCAGAUGGGUCUCAUCAGUGCCACUGUGGAUGCAGCGGGCGGCAUCUUCUAGCUCAGUCAGCUGGGUCUCCAGUCCAUACACAGUGCCUGCU
This 498-nucleotide long non-coding RNA is filed under the name Homo sapiens (human). RNAcentral's name for it is "ENTPD3, EIF1B and MYRIP antisense RNA 1". The record is from RNAcentral. Lineage: Eukaryota; Metazoa; Chordata; Mammalia; Primates; Hominidae.